RNAcentral lists this ribosomal RNA (512 nucleotides) under Rhinacloa forticornis. RNAcentral's name for it is "partial 16S ribosomal RNA". The stretch from base 385 to 512 matches the Rfam family "Archaeal large subunit ribosomal RNA", at positions 2542 to 2669 of the family's 2987-position model. The record is from RNAcentral. Lineage: Eukaryota; Metazoa; Arthropoda; Insecta; Hemiptera; Miridae.
GUUCUUUUGUUUUAUAUAAAAGAUCUGGCCUGCCCAAUGAUUAAUUUUUUAAUGGCUGCAGUAUUUUGACUGUACAAAGGUAGCAUAAUCAUUUGUCUUUUAAUUGAAGUCUGGUAUGAAGGGUUAGAUGAAAAAUUAACUUUCUUUAUUUUAAAAUAAUAAAUUAAUUUUUAAAUUAAAAAGUUUAAAUUUAAUUAGAGGACGAGAAGACCCUAUAGAACUUUAUUCUUUUUCUAGAAAAUUUUAUUUUGUUUAUAUCAAAAAUUUUCUAGAAAAAUAAUUUGAUUGGGGUGAUCAAAAAAAUUUAAUAACUUUUUUUAUUAUUCUCAUUAAUUUAUGAUAUUUUGAUCCUUUUUUAUGGAAAAAAGAUUAAGUUACCUUAGGGAUAACAGCGUUAUUAUUUUAGAGAGUUCUUAUCAAUAAAAUAGUUUGCGACCUCGAUGUUGGAUUAAAAUAAGUUUCAGGAGCAACAAAUUGAAUAUCUAGGUCUGCUCGACCUUUAAAUUUUUACA